RNAcentral lists this ribosomal RNA (390 nucleotides) under Staphylococcus aureus. RNAcentral describes it as "bacterial SSU rRNA". It matches the Rfam family "Bacterial small subunit ribosomal RNA", at positions 1 to 380 of the family's 1533-position model. Lineage: Bacteria; Bacillati; Bacillota; Bacilli; Caryophanales; Staphylococcaceae. The record is from RNAcentral.
UUUAUGGAGAGUUUGAUCCUGGCUCAGGAUGAACGCUGGCGGCGUGCCUAAUACAUGCAAGUCGAGCGAACGGAUGAGAAGCUUGCUUCUCUGAUGUUAGCGGCGGACGGGUGAGUAACACGUGGAUAACCUACCUAUAAGACUGGGACAACUUCGGGAAACCGGAGCUAAUACCGGAUAAUAUUUUGAACCGCAUGGUUCAAAAGUGAAAGACGGUCUUGCUGUCACUUAUAGAUGGAUCCGCGCUGCAUUAGCUAGUUGGUAAGGUAACGGCUUACCAAGGCAACGAUGCAUAGCCGACCUGAGAGGGUGAUCGGCCACACUGGAACUGAGACACGGUCCAGACUCCUACGGGAGGCAGCAGUAGGGAAUCUUCCGCAAUGGGCGAAA